AAAGGCCAUGGUGCAACAAUUGAUGUUAGUUGACUGAUCGGUUGGUGUUGUAUAUUUGCAUAUUUCUGACAUGGUUCACACCUUCGGACAAGUUCAGCUGCAUCUUUUUUCAUGGUAGGCCAAUAAUAUUCUUAUCGUAAGACUUUGUAAGCUCAAGAUUUACCCUCCAAGUGAUUUUCACAAAUCUUUUCGUAAACUUCUCUGAGUGCAUAGUCGGCAUCUGUCAGUCCCAAACACUUCAGUAAG
RNAcentral lists this long non-coding RNA (246 nucleotides) under Elaeis guineensis (African oil palm). RNAcentral describes it as "long non-coding RNA (EGUI_LNC018112)". The record is from RNAcentral. Lineage: Eukaryota; Viridiplantae; Streptophyta; Magnoliopsida; Arecales; Arecaceae.